UGCGUAGGCGGGUAGGUAAGUCAGUGGUGAAAUCCUAGAGCUUAAUUCUAGAACUGCCAUUGAUACUAUCUAUCUUGAAUAUUGUGGAGGUAAGCGGAAUAUGUCAUGUAGCGGUGAAAUGCUUAGAUAUGACAUAGAACACCCAUUGCGAAGGCAGCUUACUACACAUAUAUUGACGCUGAGGCACGAAAGCGUGGGGAUCAAACAGGAUUAGAUACCCUGGUAGUCCACGCCCUAAACGAUGAUUACUCGACAUACGCAAUACACCGUGUGUGUCUGAGCGAAAGCAUUAAGUAAUCCACCUGGGAAGUACGAUCGCAAGAUUGAA
Molecule: ribosomal RNA, 328 nt
Filed under: uncultured bacterium
Lineage: Bacteria
Description: bacterial SSU rRNA
Rfam family: Bacterial small subunit ribosomal RNA
Source: RNAcentral